Molecule: ribosomal RNA, 305 nt
Filed under: uncultured bacterium
Lineage: Bacteria
Description: bacterial SSU rRNA
Rfam family: Bacterial small subunit ribosomal RNA
Source: RNAcentral
GUACCUACGGGGGGCAGCAGUGGGGAAUAUUGGGCAAUGGGCGCAAGCCUGACCCAGCAACGCCGCGUGAAGGAAGAAGGCUUUCGGGUUGUAAACUUCUUUUGUCAGGGACGAAGCAAGUGACGGUACCUGACUAAGAAGCCCCGGCUAAAUACGUGCCAGCAGCCGCGGUAAUACGUAUGGGGCAAGCGUUAUCCGGAUUUACUGGGUGUAAAGGGAGCGUAGGCGGCCUGGCAAGCCUGAUGUGAAAUACCGGGGCCCAACCCCGGGGCUGCAUUGGGAACUGCCAGGCUGGAGUGCCGGAG